CAGACUGCAGAGGGCUCCUUUUGUUAGGAGCCAGUGAGACUGUUAUUUCUUAGGCAGAUGGCUUUUUAUUAAUAUGUGGCUUCUCAGACCCUUUGUGAAUUAAAAAGAAAAAAACUAAUCAGAAAUAAUGCUUGCGGAGAAGCAUGUUGAUUUUGCCUGAACUUAUUUCAGCCAAGCCAGCCUUUCUUAUUUACCAUUCUUCACUGCUGUUUGCAAAUGAACGAGAAACAGAGAAAUUCCAAUAGAAAGUCAGAAGGAAAAUGUUGGGUGGGUACAUGUGAGCACAGAAUGGUUAGUUGUGCAGAGAUGGCGCUUUGUUGUGGCUGUUGAAUUUGUGAGCAUGCACAAGGCCAGGUGGAGCCUGGGCACCCUGCAGGUCAGCUGUCUCAGCCUCCGUGCACUGUGCGAGAAUCCGUUUGAUGCGCUGGAUAAUGAGCUCUGACUGACUGAAGGGUUUGGUUUCCAUUGGGUCACGAGCCACCUGCUGGUUUCCUGUCCGUUCUCUCUUCUUGGAAGUUAAUUGACUUUCACGCAAGUGUUUGCAUCGUUGAUACCCACCGAGUGUUAAGAAUCACACAUGAGUUACUAACUCACACU
Molecule: long non-coding RNA, 597 nt
Filed under: Bos taurus (domestic cattle)
Lineage: Eukaryota; Metazoa; Chordata; Mammalia; Artiodactyla; Bovidae
Description: long non-coding RNA NONBTAT022756
Source: RNAcentral